RNAcentral lists this ribosomal RNA (495 nucleotides) under uncultured bacterium. RNAcentral describes it as "partial 16S ribosomal RNA". It matches the Rfam family "Bacterial small subunit ribosomal RNA", at positions 28 to 504 of the family's 1533-position model. The record is from RNAcentral.
GACGAACGCUGGCGGCGUGCCUAAUACAUGCAAGUCGAGCGGACGGAUGGGAGCUUGCUCCCAGACCGUCAGCGGCGGACGGGUGAGUAACACGUGGGCAACCUGCCUGUAAGACUGGGAUAACUCCGGGAAACCGGGGCUAAUACCGGAUAACUCUUUCCCUCACAUGAGGGAAAGCUGAAAGAUGGCAUCUCGCUAUCACUUACAGAUGGGCCCGCGGCGCAUUAGCUAGUUGGUGAGGUAACGGCUCACCAAGGCGACGAUGCGUAGCCGACCUGAGAGGGUGAUCGGCCACACUGGGACUGAGACACGGCCCAGACUCCUACGGGAGGCAGCAGUAGGGAAUCUUCCGCAAUGGACGAAAGUCUGACGGAGCAACGCCGCGUGAGUGAUGAAGGUUUUCGGAUCGUAAAACUCUGUUGUCAGGGAAGAACAAGUACCGGAGUAACUGCCGGUACCUUGACGGUACCUGACCAGAAAGCCACGGCUAACUAC